UGGGGAAUAUUGGACAAUGGGCGCAAGCCUGAUCCAGCAAUGCCGCGUGUGUGAAGAAGGCCUUCGGGUUGUAAAGCACUUUUAUCAGGAGCGAAACGCUGUCGGCUAAUACCCGGCGGAACUGACGGUACCUGAGGAAUAAGCACCGGCUAACUUCGUGCCAGCAGCCGCGGUAAUACGAAGGGUGCAAGCGUUAAUCGGAAUUACUGGGCGUAAAGCGUGCGUAGGCGGUUUCUUAAGUCUGCUGUGAAAUCCCCGGGCUCAACCUGGGAAUGGCAGUGGAUACUGGGAGGCUAGAGUGUGUCAGAGGGUGGUGGAAUUCCCGGUGUAGCGGUGAAAUGCGUAGAGAUCGGGAGGAACAUCAGUGGCGAAGGCGGCCACCUGGGACAACACUGACGCUGAGGCACGAAAGCGUGGGGGAGCAAACAGGAUUAGAUACCCUGGUAGUCCACGCCCUAAACGAUGCGAACUGGAUGUUGGUCUCAACUCGGAGAUCAGUGUCGAAGCUAACGCGUUAAGUUCGCCGCCUGGGGAGUACGGUCGCAAGACUGAAACUCAAAUGAAUUGACGGGGUCAUAGCUGUUUCCUG
Molecule: ribosomal RNA, 589 nt
Filed under: uncultured bacterium
Lineage: Bacteria
Description: partial 16S ribosomal RNA
Rfam family: Bacterial small subunit ribosomal RNA
Source: RNAcentral